CCUACGGGGGGCAGCAGUGAGGAAUAUUGGUCAAUGGACGAGAGUCUGAACCAGCCAAGUAGCGUGAAGGAUGACUGCCCUAUGGGUUGUAAACUUCUUUUAUAAAGGAAUAAAACGAGGCACGUGUGCCUUUUUGCAUGUACUUUAUGAAUAAGGAUCGGCUAACUCCGUGCCAGCAGCCGCGGUAAUACGGAGGAUCCGAGCGUUAUCCGGAUUUAUUGGGUUUAAAGGGAGCGUAGAUGGGUUGUUAAGUCAGUUGUGAAAGUUUGCGGCUCAACCGUAAAAUUGCAAUUGAUACUGGGAGUCAUGAGUGCAGUUGAGGUAGGCGGAAUUCGUGGUGUAGCGGUGAAAUGCUUAGAUAUCACGAAGAACCCCGAUUGCGAAGGCAGCUUACUAAACUGUGACUGACAUUGAUGCUCGAAAGUGUGGGGAGCAAACAGGAUUAGAUACCCGGGUAGUC
Molecule: ribosomal RNA, 460 nt
Filed under: uncultured bacterium
Lineage: Bacteria
Description: partial 16S ribosomal RNA
Rfam family: Bacterial small subunit ribosomal RNA
Source: RNAcentral